UGGGGAAUUUUGGACAAUGGGCGCAAGCCUGAUCCAGCCAUGCCGCGUGCAGGAUGAAGGCCUUCGGGUUGUAAACUGCUUUUGUACGGAACGAAAAGACUCCUCCUAAUAAAGGGGGUCCAUGACGGUACCGUAAGAAUAAGCACCGGCUAACUACGUGCCAGCAGCCGCGGUAAUACGUAGGGUGCAAGCGUUAAUCGGAAUUACUGGGCGUAAAGCGUGCGCAGGCGGUUAUGCAAGACAGAGGUGAAAUCCCCGGGCUCAACCUGGGAACUGCCUUUUGGACUGCAUAGCUAGAGUACGGUAGAGGGGGAUGGAAUUCCGGGUGUAGCAGUGAAAUGCGUAGAUAUGCGGAGGAACACCGAUGGCGAAGGCAAUCCCCUGGACCUGUACUGACGCUCAUGCACGAAAGCGUGGGAGCAAACA
RNAcentral lists this ribosomal RNA (426 nucleotides) under uncultured bacterium. RNAcentral describes it as "bacterial SSU rRNA". It matches the Rfam family "Bacterial small subunit ribosomal RNA", at positions 355 to 774 of the family's 1533-position model. The record is from RNAcentral.